RNAcentral lists this unclassified non-coding RNA (342 nucleotides) under soil metagenome. Its description in RNAcentral is "partial contains 5.8S ribosomal RNA, internal transcribed spacer 2, and large subunit ribosomal RNA". The stretch from base 1 to 120 matches the Rfam family "5.8S ribosomal RNA", at positions 35 to 154 of the family's 154-position model. The record is from RNAcentral.
GAUGAAGAACGUAGCGAAAUGCGAUAAGUAAUGUGAAUUGCAGAAUUCAGUGAAUCAUCGAAUCUUUGACCGCACAUUGCGCCCGCCAGCACUCUGGCGGGCAUGCCUGUUCGAGCGUCAUUUCAACCAUCAAGCCCCCAGGGGCUUGUGCUGGGGCCCUGCGGCUGCCCGCAGGCCCUGAAAACCAGUGGCGGGCUCGCUAGUCACACCGAGCGCAGUAGCACAUCUCGCUCAGGGCGUGCGGCGGGCUCCUGCCGUGAAACCCCCCACUGUAACCCCAAAGGUUGACCUCGGAUCAGGUAGGAAUACCCGCUGAACUUAAGCAUAUCAAUAAGCGGAGGA